GACGAACGCUGGCGGCGUGCUUAACACAUGCAAGUCGAACGGAAAGGCCCCCUUGUGGGGUACUCGAGUGGCGAACGGGUGAGUAACACGUGAGUAACCUACCCUUGACUUUGGGAUAACUUCAGGAAACUGGGGCUAAUACCGGAUAGGAGCUCCUGCUGCAUGGUGGGGGUUGGAAAGUUUUGGCGGUUGGGGAAGGACUCGCGGCUUAUCAGCUUGUUGGUGGGGUAGUGGCUCACCAAGGCUUUGACGGGUAGCCGGCCUGAGAGGGUGACCGGCCACAUUGGGACUGAGAUACGGCCCAGACUCCUACGGGAGGCAGCAGUGGGGAAUAUUGCACAAUGGGCGGAAGCCUGAUGCAGCAACGCCGCGUGCGGGAUGACGGCCUUCGGGUUGUAAACCGCUUUCGCCUGUGACGAAGCGUGAGUGACGGUAAUGGGUAAAGAAGCACCGGCUAACUACGUG
This 465-nucleotide ribosomal RNA is filed under the name uncultured bacterium. RNAcentral describes it as "partial 16S ribosomal RNA". It matches the Rfam family "Bacterial small subunit ribosomal RNA", at positions 28 to 507 of the family's 1533-position model. The record is from RNAcentral.